RNAcentral lists this long non-coding RNA (2029 nucleotides) under Gossypium raimondii (Peruvian cotton). RNAcentral describes it as "long non-coding RNA (GRAI_LNC003239)". Lineage: Eukaryota; Viridiplantae; Streptophyta; Magnoliopsida; Malvales; Malvaceae. The record is from RNAcentral.
UGAGUGGGACUUCUUGGCAGGAAUGAUGGCGCAUCUUGGGUUUCAUAUUGACUGGAUUGUACGUAUUAUGAGAUGUGUCUGUUCUGUCUCCUAUUCCGUCAGUCUUAAUGGAGCUGUUGGUGAUUGGUUUUCUCCAUCAAGAGGGUUGCGACAAGGAGACCCCCUCAGCCCUUAUUUGUUUUUAAUUUGUGCAGAGGGUUUUUCUACACUUAUUCAGGAAGCAAAGCAAAAGGGGCAGAUGGUGGGAGCAGCUAUUGGUAGGGAGAGGUUGACCAUUAAUCAUUUGUUCUUUACUGAUGACUGUAUCCUUUUUGGAGAUGCGACGAGUAAUGGAGCAAGAGUAGUUCGGGAUGUCAUUCGGGAAUAUGAGACUGUAUCAGGCUAACGGGUGAAUUUUGAUAAGUCUCUGAUUUAUUUUGGGGCGAAUGUAGACUCAGAUCUUAAGGUUGAUAUUGUUAAUUUGUUAGGUGUUCGGGAGGCUUUGAACUCAGAGAAGUAUUUAGGGCUGCCUAUGAUGAUAGGCCGGAGGAAAACAUGGGUGUUUGUUAACCUUGUGGAUCGAUUUAAGAAACGUAUCGAAGGGUGGAGUUUGCGAUACCUAUCUAUGAGGGGAAGGAGGUUUUUAUCAAAUUAGUUCUACAAGCGACACCGAUUUAUGCAAUGCAAUAUUUUCUUAUGCCGAAAUCAUUAUGCCGAAAGCUUGAGAGUAUUAUGAACAGAUUUUGGUAGGCUAAUAAUAAGUCACUGAAUGUCAUUCACUGGAGUAAGUGGGAACCGUUAUGCAAGCCUAAGUGUCUUGGAGGGUUGGGUUUUAAAGCUAUGUUCCUUUUUAAUAAAGCCUUACUUGCGAAACAGGUUUGGCGUAUUUUAGACCAACCCCAUUGUUUGCUUGCCAGAGUUUUUAAAGCCCGGUAUUUUCCUAAGUCUGAUGUCUUAUCAGGAAAGAUUGGAGCUUACCCAUCAUUUACCUGGAGAAGUAUUUGUAUUGCGCGUGAAGUGAUUGGAGAUGGGGUCCUGUGGCGGGUUGGCAAGGGGGAUCGCAUUAACAUCUGGAACGAUCCUUGGCUUCCUGGUAGAGAGAACAACCAUAUUCAAGUACAGGAAAUUCAGCAAUCGUGGUCUACGGUUAAUCAGCUAAUCGAUGCAGAUUCGUGUACCUGGGAUAGAACGCUGCUUCUAAAGAUCGUUGAUGAGAAUACAGCGGACCGAAUUCUUGCUAUUCCCAUAUCUAUAAGUAGACCAGAGGAUAGGGUGGUCUAGAAACAUGAAGGCUCUGGGGAGUAUACAGUCAAGAGUGGGUAUCGGGUACUAUUUGCAGCUCAUCUACAAAGUACUGCUUACAUGCCUAUUAUUGAUAAGGUUUACAUAGAUUUUUACAAAGAUUUAUGGUCAUUAAGUAUUCCCGAUAAAAUCAAAAUUCACAUUUGGAGGCUUGUUAAUAAUCUGGUGCCGCAUUUCGGUAAUCUGGCGAGGAGAAUGUUGUGUGUGGACACAUAUUGUCCGCUAUGUAAGUACGAACUGGAAGACACUAAUCAUCUGGUGUGGUCUUGCAAUAUUCUGCAACAGGUUUGGGCAUCGCUUUCCAUUAAAGUCCCAUCGUUUGAUGAGUCGUUGAGCCACAAGCUCCGAUUUGUUAAUACGUUUUCUGCAGCAGAUGACCAACAGAAACGGAUCAUUGUAAUUGCCAUAUGGAGCCUUUGGUUCCAUAGAAAUAAGUCUGUUCAUGAGGGCAUUAAUUUUUCGAUGCAGGCGGUGUUAGGGUUUAUUCGGGGUUACGAACAAGAAAUUUAUUGCAGUCGGUUGCUACUCUGUCCUACUCUUAGAUCUAAGGUUAAAGGGAUCUGGAGACCCCCAGAUAUGGGAGUUCUUAAAUUUAAUUUUGAUGCAGACUGCUACAACAGCUGUGCUUGCCAGAAAUGAUACAGGUGAAAUUGUAGGAGCAGAAACUUAUCUGUUUGCUGACAUCGUGAAUGCGUUCGUGGCUGAAGCAAGGGCUUGUGAAAGGGCAUUGAUUUUUGCAAGAAGUAUG